RNAcentral lists this long non-coding RNA (580 nucleotides) under Ursus maritimus (polar bear). RNAcentral describes it as "lncRNA (ENSUMAG00000005979.1)". The record is from RNAcentral. Lineage: Eukaryota; Metazoa; Chordata; Mammalia; Carnivora; Ursidae.
CAGCCUCCAGCUGCUGGAGACAGGUCUACAGACGAUUCUGCAAGGAGCCUGCUGACCUGGCCUUCAGAUGUGAUCCCAUGGGAGGUAGCAGACCUCGUGGUGGGCUGUAUGUCCACCUGGGACACUGGCUGGCUCUCCAGCCCUGCUUCACUUCACCCCAACCUGCAAGAGGGCACCACCAGGGGCUCUGCAAAGCACUGGGCUCUGUGAGGCCACCUUCAGACCCAGCGCACCCUUGCCAGCAGGCAGCUCUUGGCUGACAUCAGCGCAGAACUACAGGGGCCACCUUGACUGACAGCUGUGGCAUCCAAUGACACCACUUGCUGGGCAAGUCCUUUGAUCAUUCUGAAGCUCAGGCCUGUAACACGGAAAUGAGACCCGCCCCACCUCUUUCUGUGGGUUGCUGUCAAAAUCAAAUGGGAUCAUAGAAGUGCUUUGAAAAAGAAAAAGCAAUAUUCAAAUAUAAAAUGCUAGAUUACCUUUUUUUUUUUUUUUGUGAAGGUUGUCAGGGCCCAAACAAAAAAGAUUUUUCAGUUUUACCAUUUAAUAAUAAAUCAAGUCUAUCAGAAGCUUGAUAACA